Molecule: unclassified non-coding RNA, 316 nt
Filed under: plant metagenome
Description: partial contains 5.8S ribosomal RNA, internal transcribed spacer 2, and large subunit ribosomal RNA
Rfam family: 5.8S ribosomal RNA (bases 1-105)
Source: RNAcentral
GAAAUGCGAUAACUAGUGUGAAUUGCAGAAUUCCAUGAAUCAUCGAGUCUUUGAACGCACAUUGCGCCCCCUGGUAUUCCGGGGGGCAUGCCUGUCCGAGCGUCAUUGCUGCCCAUCAAGCACGGCUUGUGUGUUGGGUCGUCGUCCCCUCUCCGGGGGGGACGGGCCCCAAAGGCAGCGGCGGCACCGCGUCCGAUCCUCGAGCGUAUGGGGCUUUGUCACCCGCUCUGUAGGCCCGGCCGGCGCUUGCCGAACGCAGAUCAAUCUUUUUCCAGGUUGACCUCGGAUCAGGUAGGGAUACCCGCUGAACUUAAGC